UUUUGUAGAAUGAACCGGCGAGUUACGAUUUGAUGCAAGGUUAAGCAGUAAAUGUGGAGCCGUAGCGAAAGCGAGUCUGAAUAGGGCGUUUAGUAUUUGGUCGUAGACCCGAAACCAGGUGAUCUACCCUUGGUCAGGUUGAAGUUCAGGUAACACUGAAUGGAGGACCGAACCGACUUACGUUGAAAAGUGAGCGGAUGAACUGAGGGUAGCGGAGAAAUUCCAAUCGAACCUGGAGAUAGCUGGUUCUCUCCGAAAUAGCUUUAGGGCUAGCCUCAAGUGAUGAUUAUUGGAGGUAGAGCACUGUUUGGACGAGGGGCCCCUCUCGGGUUACCGAAUUCAGACAAACUCCGAAUGCCAAUUAAUUUAACUUGGGAGUCAGAACAUGGGUGAUAAGGUCCGUGUUCGAAAGGGAAACAGCCCAGACCACCAGCUAAGGUCCCAAAAUAUAUGUUAAGUGGAAAAGGAUGUGGCGUUGCCCAGACAACUAGGAUGUUGGCUUAGAAGCAGCCAUCAUUUAAAGAGUGCGUAAUAGCUCACUAGUCGAGUGACACUGCGCCGAAAAUGUACCGGGGCUAAACAUAUUACCGAAGCUGUGGAUUGUCCUUUGGACAAUGGUAGGAGAGCGUUCUAAGGGCGUUGAAGCAUGAUCGUAAGGACAUGUGGAGCGCUUAGAAGUGAGAAUGCCGGUGUGAGUAGCGAAAGACGGGUGAGAAUCCCGUCCACCGAUUGACUAAGGUUUCCAGAGGAAGGCUCGUCCGCUCUGGGUUAGUCGGGUCCUAAGCUGAGGCCGACAGGCGUAGGCGAUGGAUAACAGGUUGAUAUUCCUGUACCACCUAUAAUCGUUUUAAUCGAUGGGGGGACGCAGUAGGAUAGGCGAAGCGUGCGAUUGGAUUGCACGUCUAAGCAGUAAGGCUGAGUAUUAGGCAAAUCCGGUACUCGUUAAGGCUGAGC
Molecule: ribosomal RNA, 954 nt
Filed under: Staphylococcus aureus
Lineage: Bacteria; Bacillati; Bacillota; Bacilli; Caryophanales; Staphylococcaceae
Description: partial 23S ribosomal RNA
Rfam family: Bacterial large subunit ribosomal RNA
Source: RNAcentral